CCUACGGGAGGCAGCAGUGAGGAAUAUUGGUCAAUGGCCGAAAGUCUGAACCAGCCAAGUCGCGUGAAGGAAGACGGCCCUACGGGUUGUAAACCUCUUUUGUCGGGGGGCAAACGGAGUCACGUGUGACUCCUUGAAAGUACCCUACGAACAAGCAUCGGCUAACUCCGUGCCAGCAGCCGCGGUAAUACGGAGGAUUCGAGCGUUAUCCGGAUUUAUUGGGUUUAAAGGGUGCGAAGGCGGAGGUGCAAGUCAGCGGUAAAAUUGCGGGGCUCAACCCCGUACUGCCGUUGAAACUGUUUGCCUUGAGUGUGCGAGCAGUAGGCUGAAUGUGUGGUGUAGCGGUGAAAUGCAUAGAUAUCAUGCAGAACUCCGAUUGCGAAGGCAGCAUACCGGGGUGCAACUGACGCUGAUGCACGAAAGCGUGGGGAUCGAACAGGAUUAGAUACCCGGGUAGUC
Molecule: ribosomal RNA, 459 nt
Filed under: uncultured bacterium
Lineage: Bacteria
Description: partial 16S ribosomal RNA
Rfam family: Bacterial small subunit ribosomal RNA
Source: RNAcentral